RNAcentral lists this ribosomal RNA (164 nucleotides) under Tuber magnatum (white Piedmont truffle). RNAcentral's name for it is "5.8S ribosomal RNA". It matches the Rfam family "5.8S ribosomal RNA". From Rfam's summary of the family: 5.8S ribosomal RNA (5.8S rRNA) is a component of the large subunit of the eukaryotic ribosome. It is transcribed by RNA polymerase I as part of the 45S precursor that also contains 18S and 28S rRNA. Functionally, it is thought that 5.8S rRNA may be involved in ribosome translocation. Lineage: Eukaryota; Fungi; Ascomycota; Pezizomycetes; Pezizales; Tuberaceae. The record is from RNAcentral.
AAACAGUUAAAACUUUCAACAACGGAUCUCUUGGCUCUCGCAUCGAUGAAGAACGCAGCGAAAUGCGAUAGGUAAUGUGAAUUGCAGAACUCAGUGAAUCAUCGAAUCUUUGAACGCACAUUGCGCCCUCUGGCAUUCCUCAGGGCAUGCCUGUUUGAGCGUCA